GACAGGUGGUGCAUGGUUGUCGUCAGCUCGUGUCGUGAGAUGUUGGGUUAAGUCCCGCAACGAGCGCAACCCUUAAGCUUAGUUGCCAUCAUUAAGUUGGGCACUCUAAGUUGACUGCCGGUGACAAACCGGAGGAAGGUGGGGAUGACGUCAAAUCAUCAUGCCCCUUAUGAUUUGGGCUACACACGUGCUACAAUGGACAAUACAAAGGGCAGCGAAACCGCGAGGUCAAGCAAAUCCCAUAAAGUUGUUCUCAGUUCGGAUUGUAGUCUGCAACUCGACUACAUGAAGCUGGAAUCGCUAGUAAUCGUAGAUCAGCAUGCUACGGUGAAUACGUUCCCGGGUCUUGUACACA
RNAcentral lists this ribosomal RNA (355 nucleotides) under Staphylococcus aureus. RNAcentral's name for it is "bacterial SSU rRNA". It matches the Rfam family "Bacterial small subunit ribosomal RNA", at positions 1033 to 1389 of the family's 1533-position model. Lineage: Bacteria; Bacillati; Bacillota; Bacilli; Caryophanales; Staphylococcaceae. The record is from RNAcentral.